RNAcentral lists this ribosomal RNA (292 nucleotides) under uncultured bacterium. RNAcentral describes it as "partial 16S ribosomal RNA". It matches the Rfam family "Bacterial small subunit ribosomal RNA", at positions 505 to 796 of the family's 1533-position model. The record is from RNAcentral.
GUGCCAGCAGCCGCGGUAAGACAGAGGUCCCGAGCGUUGUUCGGAUUCAUUGGGCGUAAAGGGUGUGUAGGAGGUUGGGUAAGUCAGGUGUGAAAUCUCGGAGCUUAACUCUGAAACUGCGCUUGAUACUGCUCAGCUAGAGGAUCGGAGGGGGUAACGGAAUUCAUGGUGUAGCAGUGAAAUGCGUAGAUAUCAUGAGGAACACCGGUGGCGAAGGCGGUUACCUGGAAGAUUCCUGACUCUGAAACACGAAAGCCAGGGGAGCAAACGGGAUUAGAUACCCCCGUAGUCC